CAGUCGCCGCGGUAAUACGUAGGGUGCGAGCGUUAAUCGGAAUUACUGGGCGUAAAGCGUGCGCAGGCGGUUAUAUAAGACAGAUGUGAAAUCCCCGGGCUCAACCUGGGACCUGCAUUUGUGACUGUAUAGCUAGAGUACGGUAGAGGGGGAUGGAAUUCCGCGUGUAGCAGUGAAAUGCGUAGAUAUGCGGAGGAACACCGAUGGCGAAGGCAAUCCCCUGGACCUGUACUGACGCUCAUGCACGAAAGCGUGGGGAGCGAACAGGAUUAGAUACCCCUGUAGUCCCUGUCUCUUAUAC
Molecule: ribosomal RNA, 301 nt
Filed under: uncultured bacterium
Lineage: Bacteria
Description: partial 16S ribosomal RNA
Rfam family: Bacterial small subunit ribosomal RNA
Source: RNAcentral